Molecule: transfer RNA, 122 nt
Filed under: Trichosporon asahii var. asahii CBS 2479
Lineage: Eukaryota; Fungi; Basidiomycota; Tremellomycetes; Trichosporonales; Trichosporonaceae
Description: tRNA-Pro
Source: RNAcentral
GUUCUCGUGGUGUAGUGGUUAUCAUACUCUCUUAGGGUGAUCUAACAUCUUGAGCUUAGCCUCCAGAUCCUCUUCUGAGGAUUGACUGGGAGUGGCCCCGGGUUCAAAUCCCGGCGAGGACC